RNAcentral lists this microRNA precursor (131 nucleotides) under Glycine max (soybean). RNAcentral describes it as "miR10430 stem-loop (gma-MIR10430)". The record is from miRBase by way of RNAcentral. Lineage: Eukaryota; Viridiplantae; Streptophyta; Magnoliopsida; Fabales; Fabaceae.
UAGGCCAGGUUAGGCUUUAAAAGGCCUGAACCUAACCUACGAUGAAAUUUUGAGGCUUGAGCCUAGUCUAUAGCCUAUCAAAGAUUUUUAUUUUGGCUCGGUCUGACCUUUUUAAAAGCCUAGUUUGGCCU